RNAcentral lists this ribosomal RNA (254 nucleotides) under uncultured bacterium. Its description in RNAcentral is "partial 16S ribosomal RNA". It matches the Rfam family "Bacterial small subunit ribosomal RNA", at positions 524 to 776 of the family's 1533-position model. The record is from RNAcentral.
UACGUAGGAUCCGAGCGUUAUCCGGAGUGACUGGGCGUAAAGAGUUGCGUAGGUGGCAAUGUAAGCGAAUGAUGAAAUCGUGUGGCUCAACCAUACUGCUAUUAUUUGAACUGCAUUGCUUGAGAACAGGAGAGGUAGAUGGAAUUCCCAGUGUAGGAGUGAAAUCCGCAGAUAUUGGGAGGAACACCAAUGGCGUAGGCAGUCUACUGGCCUGUUUCUGACACUGAGGCACGAAAGCGUGGGGAGCGAACCGG